This 467-nucleotide ribosomal RNA is filed under the name uncultured bacterium. Its description in RNAcentral is "partial 16S ribosomal RNA". It matches the Rfam family "Bacterial small subunit ribosomal RNA", at positions 29 to 507 of the family's 1533-position model. The record is from RNAcentral.
ACGCACGCUGGCGGCGUGCUUAACACCUGCCAGUCGAACGGAAAGGCCCUGCUUUUGUGGGGUGCUCGAGUGGCGAACGGGUGAGUAACACGUGAGUAACCUGCCCUUGACUUUGGGAUAACUUCAGGAAACUGGGGCUAAUACCGGAUAGGAGCUCCUGCUGCAUGGUGGGGGUUGGAAAGUUUCGGCGGUUGGGGGUGGACUCGCGGCUUAUCAGCUUGUUGGUGGGGUAGUGGCUUACCAAGGCUUUGACGGGUAGCCGGCCUGAGAGGGUGACCGGCCACAUUGGGACUGAGAUACGGCCCAGACUCCUACGGGAGGCAGCAGUGGGGAAUAUUGCACAAUGGGCGGAAGCCUGAUGCAGCAACGCCGCGUGCGGGAUGACGGCCUUCGGGUUGUAAACCGCUUUCGCCUGUGACGAAGCGUGAGUGACGGUAAUGGGUAAAGAAGCACCGGCUAACUACGUG